CAGCCGCCGCGGGAAAACGUAGGGUGCAAGCGUUAAUCGGAAUUACUGGGCGUAAAGCGUGCGCAGGCGGUUUGUUAAGACAGAUGUGAAAUCCCCGGGCUCAACCUGGGAACUGCAUUUGUGACUGGCGGGCUAGAGUAUGGCAGAGGGGGGUAGAAUUCCACGUGUAGCAGUGAAAUGCGUAGAGAUGUGGAGGAAUACCGAUGGCGAAGGCAGCCCCCUGGGCCAAUACUGACGCUCAUGCACGAAAGCGUGGGGAGCAAACAGGAUUAGAUACCCCAGUAGUCCCUGUCUCUUAUAC
RNAcentral lists this ribosomal RNA (301 nucleotides) under uncultured bacterium. Its description in RNAcentral is "partial 16S ribosomal RNA". It matches the Rfam family "Bacterial small subunit ribosomal RNA", at positions 509 to 807 of the family's 1533-position model. The record is from RNAcentral.